This 253-nucleotide ribosomal RNA is filed under the name uncultured bacterium. RNAcentral describes it as "partial 16S ribosomal RNA". It matches the Rfam family "Bacterial small subunit ribosomal RNA", at positions 524 to 776 of the family's 1533-position model. The record is from RNAcentral.
GACAGAGGGUGCAAACGUUGUUCGGAAUUACUGGGCGUAAAGGGCGCGUAGGCGGCCUGAUAAGUCGGGGGUGAAAUCCUGUGGCUUAACCACAGGGCUGCCUCCGAGACUGUCGGGCUCGAGCACAGUAGAGGCAGGUGGAAUUCCCGGUGUAGCGGUGGAAUGCGUAGAGAUCGGGAAGAACAUCGGUGGCGAAGGCGGCCUGCCGGGCUGUUGCUGACGCUGAGGCGCGACAGCGUGGGGAGCAAACAGG